This 452-nucleotide ribosomal RNA is filed under the name uncultured organism. Its description in RNAcentral is "partial 16S ribosomal RNA". It matches the Rfam family "Bacterial small subunit ribosomal RNA", at positions 333 to 801 of the family's 1533-position model. The record is from RNAcentral.
ACACUCCUGCGGGAGGCAGCAGUGGGGAAUAUUGGACAAUGGGCGCAAGCCUGAUCCAGCCAUGCCGCGUGAGUGAUGAAGGCCCUAGGGUUGUAAAGCUCUUUCACUGGUGAAGAUAAUGACGGUAACCGGAGAAGAAGCCCCGACUAACUUCGUGCCAGCAGCCGCGGUAAUACGAAGGGGGCUAGCGUUGUUCGGAUUUACUGGGCGUAAAGCGCACGUAGGCGGACUAUUAAGUCAGGGGUGAAAUCCCGGGGCUCAACCCCGGAACUGCCUUUGAUACUGGUAGUCUUGAGUUCGAGAGAGGUGAGUGGAAUUCCGAGUGUAGAGGUGAAAUUCGUAGAUAUUCGGAGGAACACCAGUGGCGAAGGCGGCUCACUGGCUCGAUACUGACGCUGAGGUGCGAAAGCGUGGGGAGCAAACAGGAUUAGAAACCCUGGUAGUCCCAUGAU